UGGGGGAUAUUGCACAAUGGGCGAAAGCCUGAUGCAGCGACGCCGCGUGGGGGAUGAAGGCUUUCGGGUUGUAAACCUCUUUCGCUAUCGAACAAGGCCCGCUUAGGGUGGGUUGAGGGUAGGUGGAGAAGAAGCGCCGGCUAACUACGUGCCAGCAGCCGCGGUAAUACGUAGGGCGCGAGCGUUGUCCGUAAUUAUUGGGCGUAAAGGGCUUGUAGGCGGCUUGUUGCGUCUGCUGUGAAAACGCGGGGCUUAACUUCGCGCGUGCAGUGGGUACGGGCAGGCUUGAGUGUGGUAGGGGUGACUGGAAUUCCAGGUGUAGCGGUGGAAUGCGCAGAUAUCUGGAGGAAAACCGAUGGCGAAGGCAGGUCACUGGGCCAUUACUGACGCUGAGGAGCGAAAGCAUGGGUAGCGAACAGG
This 420-nucleotide ribosomal RNA is filed under the name bacterium. RNAcentral describes it as "partial 16S ribosomal RNA". It matches the Rfam family "Bacterial small subunit ribosomal RNA", at positions 355 to 776 of the family's 1533-position model. The record is from RNAcentral.